GCCCGGAAGAGGAAGAAUAGAGGGCCUUAGAGUAGUGGGAAUGGGAACAUGGAGGAAAACCUAACUUCCUUGGUUUUUUGCUUGUCGUGUUGGAAGUGAUAAUUUUGUUUGGUGUUUUCCGAUGCCUCCCAUUCCUAUUGUUCUAAAGCACUCCUUCCUCUUCAUUUUUUGG
Hordeum vulgare subsp. vulgare (domesticated barley) is the source of this 172-nucleotide non-coding RNA. NCBI's taxonomy places the organism in Eukaryota, Viridiplantae, Streptophyta, Magnoliopsida, Poales, Poaceae. The record is from Rfam.